Molecule: ribosomal RNA, 1000 nt
Filed under: Priestia megaterium
Lineage: Bacteria; Bacillati; Bacillota; Bacilli; Caryophanales; Bacillaceae
Description: bacterial SSU rRNA
Rfam family: Bacterial small subunit ribosomal RNA
Source: RNAcentral
GGCAUUGGGGCAGCUAUACAUGCAGUCGAGCGAACUGAUUAGAAGCUUGCUUCUAUGACGUUAGCGGCGGACGGGUGAGUAACACGUGGGCAACCUGCCUGUAAGACUGGGAUAACUUCGGGAAACCGAAGCUAAUACCGGAUAGGAUCUUCUCCUUCAUGGGAGAUGAUUGAAAGAUGGUUUCGGCUAUCACUUACAGAUGGGCCCGCGGUGCAUUAGCUAGUUGGUGAGGUAACGGCUCACCAAGGCAACGAUGCAUAGCCGACCUGAGAGGGUGAUCGGCCACACUGGGACUGAGACACGGCCCAGACUCCUACGGGAGGCAGCAGUAGGGAAUCUUCCGCAAUGGACGAAAGUCUGACGGAGCAACGCCGCGUGAGUGAUGAAGGCUUUCGGGUCGUAAAACUCUGUUGUUAGGGAAGAACAAGUACGAGAGUAACUGCUCGUACCUUGACGGUACCUAACCAGAAAGCCACGGCUAACUACGUGCCAGCAGCCGCGGUAAUACGUAGGUGGCAAGCGUUAUCCGGAAUUAUUGGGCGUAAAGCGCGCGCAGGCGGUUUCUUAAGUCUGAUGUGAAAGCCCACGGCUCAACCGUGGAGGGUCAUUGGAAACUGGGGAACUUGAGUGCAAAAUAGAAAAGCGGAAUUCCACGUGUAGCGGUGAAAUGCGUACAGAUGUGGAGGAACACCAGUGGCGAAGGCGGCUUUUUGGUCUGUAACUGACGCUGAGGCGCGAAAGCGUGGGGAGCAAACAGGAUUAGAUACCCUGGUAGUCCACGCCGUAAACGAUGAGUGCUAAGUGUUAGAGGGUUUCCGCCCUUUAGUGCUGCAGCUAACGCAUUAAGCACUCCGCCUGGGGAGUACGGUCGCAAGACUGAAACUCAAAGGAAUUGACGGGGGCCCGCACAAGCGGUGGAGCAUGUGGUUUAAUUCAAAGCAACGCGAAGAACCUUACCAGGUCUUGACAUCCUCUGACACUCUACAGAUAGAGCGUUCCC